RNAcentral lists this transfer RNA (77 nucleotides) under Rhodospirillales bacterium. RNAcentral's name for it is "tRNA-Arg". It matches the Rfam family "tRNA". From Rfam's summary of the family: Transfer RNA (tRNA) molecules are approximately 80 nucleotides in length. Their secondary structure includes four short double-helical elements and three loops (D, anti-codon, and T loops). The record is from RNAcentral. Lineage: Bacteria; Pseudomonadati; Pseudomonadota; Alphaproteobacteria; Rhodospirillales. RNAcentral also lists the same sequence under 1 other name.
GCGCCCUUAGCUCAGUUGGAUAGAGCAAUAGCCUUCUAAGCUAUGGGUCGGUGGUUCGAAUCCACCAGGGCGCGCCA